CUGCAAGUCGAACGGUCUUUCUAUGGAAGCUUGCUUCCACUGAGAAGAUAGUGGCGAACGGGUGAGUAACACGUGGGUAACCUGCCCAUAAGAGGGGGAGUAACAUCCGGAAACGGGUGCUAAUACCGCAUAGUUUUCUUGAUUGCAUGAUUGAGAAAGGAAAGACGGCCUUUGUGCUGUCGCUUAUGGAUGGACCCGCGGCGUAUUAGUUAGUUGGUGAGGUAACGGCUCACCAAGACGAUGAUACGUAGCCGACCUGAGAGGGUGAUCGGCCACAUUGGGACUGAGACACGGCCCAAACUCCUACGGGAGGCAGCAGUAGGGAAUCUUCCGCAAUGGACGAAAGUCUGACGGAGCAACGCCGCGUGAGUGAAGAAAAGGUUUUUCGGAUCGUAAAACUCUGUUGUCAGAGAAGAACAAGUUGGAGAGUAACUGCUCCAGCCUUGACGGUAUCUGACCAGAAAGCCACGGCUAACUACGUGCCAGCAGCCGC
This 493-nucleotide ribosomal RNA is filed under the name uncultured bacterium. Its description in RNAcentral is "bacterial SSU rRNA". It matches the Rfam family "Bacterial small subunit ribosomal RNA", at positions 55 to 518 of the family's 1533-position model. The record is from RNAcentral.